RNAcentral lists this ribosomal RNA (253 nucleotides) under uncultured bacterium. RNAcentral's name for it is "partial 16S ribosomal RNA". It matches the Rfam family "Bacterial small subunit ribosomal RNA", at positions 524 to 776 of the family's 1533-position model. The record is from RNAcentral.
UACGGAGGGUACGAGCAUUAAUCGGAAUUACUGGGCGUAAAGGGCGCGUAGGCGGAUUUGUAAGUCGGAUGUGAAAUUCCAAAACUCAAUUUUGGAGCUGCAUUCGAAACUACAAGUCUUGAGGUAUGGCGGAGAAAGCGGAAUUCCACGUGUAGCGGUGAAAUGCGUAGAUAUGUGGAAGAACACCGGUGGCGAAAGCGGCUUUCUAGUUUUUACCUGACGCUGAGGCGCGAGAGCAAGGGGAGCAAACAGG